Molecule: non-coding RNA, 90 nt
Organism: Potamilus streckersoni
Lineage: Eukaryota; Metazoa; Mollusca; Bivalvia; Unionida; Unionidae
Source: the annotation of a GenBank genome assembly
UUUAGUACCGCUCCGGUGGUCUUGUGGUUAGAGCGUCCGCCUCGGAUGAGGAAGGUCGCAGGUUCGAAUCCUGGCUAAGUCAUACUAAAG